Molecule: ribosomal RNA, 718 nt
Filed under: Pyxidicoccus sp. 42-mcx-3
Lineage: Bacteria; Pseudomonadati; Myxococcota; Myxococcia; Myxococcales; Myxococcaceae
Description: bacterial SSU rRNA
Rfam family: Bacterial small subunit ribosomal RNA
Source: RNAcentral
CGAAUAGGGGCAACCCUUAGUAGAGCGGCGCACGGGUGCGUAACACGUGGAUAAUCUGCCUGGAUGCCCGGGAUAACCAGUCGAAAGAUUGGCUAAUACCGGAUAAGCCCACGGCCUCUUCGGAGACUGAGGGAAAAGGUGGCCUCUGUAUACAAGCUAUCACAACCAGAUGAGUCCGCGGCCCAUCAGCUAGUUGGCGGGGUAAUGGCCCACCAAGGCAACGACGGGUAGCUGGUCUGAGAGGACGAUCAGCCACACUGGAACUGAGACACGGUCCAGACUCCUACGGGAGGCAGCAGUGGGGAAUUUUGCGCAAUGGGCGAAAGCCUGACGCAGCAACGCCGCGUGUGUGAUGAAGGUCUUCGGAUUGUAAAGCACUUUCGACCGGGACGAAAACCCGUAGCCCAACACGCUACGGCUUGACGGUACCGGGAGAAGAAGCACCGGCUAACUCUGUGCCAGCAGCCGCGGUAAUACAGAGGGUGCAAGCGUUGUUCGGAAUUAUUGGGCGUAAAGCGCGUGUAGGCGGCGUGACAAGUCGGGUGUGAAAGCCCUCAGCUCAACUGAGGAAGUGCGCCCGAAACUGUCGUGCUUGAGUGCCGGAGAGGGUGGCGGAAUUCCCGAAGUAGAGGUGAAAUUCGUAGAUAUCGGGAGGAACACCGGUGGCGAAGGCGGCCACCUGGACGGUAACUGACGCUGAGACGCGAAAGCGUGGGGA